GGUGAUAAGGUCCGGGUUCGAAAGGGAAACAGCCCAGACCACCAGCUAAGGUCCCAAAAUAUAUGUUAAGUGGAAAAGGAUGUGGCGUUGCCCAGACAACUAGGAUGUUGGCUUAGAAGCAGCCAUCAUUUAAAGAGUGCGUAAUAGCUCACUAGUCGAGUGACACUGCGCCGAAAAUGUACCGGGGCUAAACAUAUUACCGAAGCUGUGGAUUGUCCUUUGGACAAUGGUAGGAGAGCGUUCUAAGGGCGUUGAAGCAUGAUCGUAAGGACAUGUGGAGCGCUUAGAAGUGAGAAUGCCGGUGUGAGUAGCGAAAGACGGGUGAGAAUCCCGUCCACCGAUUGACUAAGGUUUCCAGAGGAAGGCUCGUCCGCUCUGGGUUAGUCGGGUCCUAAGCUGAGGCCGACAGGCGUAGGCGAUGGAUAACAGGUUGAUAUUCCUGUACCACCUAUAAUCGGUUUAAGCGAUGGGGGGACGCAGUAGG
Molecule: ribosomal RNA, 484 nt
Filed under: Staphylococcus aureus
Lineage: Bacteria; Bacillati; Bacillota; Bacilli; Caryophanales; Staphylococcaceae
Description: partial 23S ribosomal RNA
Rfam family: Bacterial large subunit ribosomal RNA
Source: RNAcentral